RNAcentral lists this ribosomal RNA (216 nucleotides) under Glomeromycotina sp. RNAcentral's name for it is "partial small subunit ribosomal RNA". The stretch from base 40 to 216 matches the Rfam family "Eukaryotic small subunit ribosomal RNA", at positions 686 to 864 of the family's 1831-position model. Lineage: Eukaryota; Fungi; Glomeromycota. The record is from RNAcentral.
GGGUCAGUAGGUUGGUCGUGCCACCGGUACGUACUGGUCUCACUGAUUCCUCCUUCCUGAAGAACCGUAAUGCCAUUAAUUUGGUGUUGCGGGGAAACAGGACUGUUACUUUGAAAAAAUUAGAGUUUUUAAAGCAAGCUAACUAUUGAAUACAUUAGCAUGGAAUAAUGAAAUAGGACGAUCGAUCCUAUUUUGUUGGUUUCUAGGAAUGACGUA